RNAcentral lists this ribosomal RNA (495 nucleotides) under uncultured bacterium. Its description in RNAcentral is "bacterial SSU rRNA". It matches the Rfam family "Bacterial small subunit ribosomal RNA", at positions 29 to 507 of the family's 1533-position model. The record is from RNAcentral.
ACGAACGCUGGCGGCGUGCCUAAUACAUGCAAGUAGAACGCUGAAGAGAGGAGCUUGCUCUUCUUGGAUGAGUUGCGAACGGGUGAGUAACGCGUAGGUAACCUGCCUUGUAGCGGGGGAUAACUAUUGGAAACGAUAGCUAUUACCGCAUAACAAUAGGUGACACAUGUCAUUUAUUUGAAAGGGGCAAUUGCUCCACUACAAGAUGGACCUGCGUUGUAUUAGCUAGUAGGUGAGGUAACGGCUCACCUAGGCGACGAUACAUAGCCGACCUGAGAGGGUGAUCGGCCACACUGGGACUGAGACACGGCCCAGACUCCUACGGGAGGCAGCAGUAGGGAAUCUUCGGCAAUGGGGCAACCCUGACCGAGCAACGCCGCGUGAGUGAAGAAGGUUUUCGGAUCGUAAAGCUCUGUUGUAAGUCAAGAACGAGUGUGAGAGUGGAAAGUUCACACUGUGACGGUAGCUUACCAGAAAGGGACGGCUAACUACGUG